GACGAACGCUGGCGGCGUGCCUAAUACAUGCAAGUUGAGCGAUGAAGAUUGGUGCUUGCACCAAUUUGAAGAGCAGCGAACGGGUGAGUAACGCGUGGGGAAUCUGCCUUUGAGCGGGGGACAACAUCUGGAAACGAAUGCUAAUACCGCAUAACAACUUUAAACAUAAGUUUUAAGUUUGAAAGAUGCAAUUGCAUCACUCAAAGAUGAUCUCGCGUUGUAUUAGCUAGUUGGUGAGGUAAAGGCCCACCAAGGCGAUGAUACAUAGCCGACCUGAGAGGGUGAUCGGCCACAAUUGGACUGGGACACGGCCCAAACUCCUACGGGAGGCAGCAGUAGGGAAUCUUCGGCAAUGGAGGGAAGUCUGACCGAGCAACGCCGCGGGAGUGAAGAAGGUUUUCGGAUCGUAAAACUCUGUUGGUAGAGAAGAACGUUGGUGAGAGUGAAAAGCUCAUCAAGUGACGGUAACUACACAGAAAGGGACGGCUAACUACGUG
RNAcentral lists this ribosomal RNA (497 nucleotides) under uncultured bacterium. RNAcentral describes it as "partial 16S ribosomal RNA". It matches the Rfam family "Bacterial small subunit ribosomal RNA", at positions 28 to 507 of the family's 1533-position model. The record is from RNAcentral.